UUUAGGCCUUUGUAUCUAGCAUUGGCAUACCUAAAUUAGGGUUUUUUUUGAAAAAUAACCACCCUACAGAUCAAAAAUUGAAAAACAACAUAAAUUUUUAUUUUAUUGAUAAAUAACCAUAUUUUUGCAUUUUCAUACAAAAACACCCUUAAAAAACAAAACAAUCUAAAUUGUUUUUUCUUUUUUUCAAUACAUGUAAAUGAGAAGUAAAAAAAUACCCAAAUCGGAAAGCCUCAUUCUUGUUCUCCUUCUCAUACUGUCUCCUUCACACUAUUUCCUUCACACUAUCCAUUGUUACUUCACCUUCUCACACCAUCUCCUAGAAAUAUCAUCGUUCGAUCAUACGUCAUCUUCAUCCAAUCAUGAGCCACUCAAGAGGCAAUCGCGAGCCUUUGGUGUCAAAUCGUGAGCCACCCAGAGGCAAUCUUGCACGGUCAUCAUCCUCACCAUCAAUUUGACCCAGAGUUUUGGAAAAAUCAGGUAUAUGCUUGCUCGUUCUCUCCAUCUCCAAUGCCGAAAGCCACAGGAAAUAUUUGCUUAUUGCCAUCCAUUUCCAUUGCAAUAUACAUUUAUCCUUUGUAUUUUCCUUUCAAAGUAAUCAUAUCAACAGCCAAUAUGAGUCUUAUGUGAGAUAUAAAUUUCCUAAUACUUGCUCCAAUUACAAUAAAAAAAAAAUUUACAAAAUGGUUAUUGUUCUCUAUUUUUAUACGUGUUUGAGUUUCAGAAUUUUUUGACUCUAACUUGUACCAAUAGGUAGACAACUAGCAAGAUUCUCCUUAGAAGAUCCCCUAACACUGUUAAGUGCAUAUUUUCUACCUUUUCAUGCUUUAUUAUAGCUUAUAUUCAUCCUAUAUUUUUGCAGAAAAUCAUAUUGAAUUUCUUUGGAUUUGUAAACAUGUGUAAUCUCUUCAUGUUUAUAUUUGAUGCAUUGCCCAAUAACUUGACUACUCAUAUGCCUAUGUUCUCGAUGCAUGAUAUCUAACAAGCAAUUAUGUACAUUAUCAAAUAUUUUUACAAUGAAGAUUUUUCCAUUUUUUAAAUUGGUCACAUACAGAUGCCGUUUAUAAGUAUUUUCCAAACACAUAAUCUCAUAUCGUUGUGUAGUUGACCUUGUUACCUUAAACUCUUUAUUUGUACGCAUGCAAUGAAUACUCAAUUUAUUUUGUAACUCACACUUGUUACGAAAUAUCUGUCCAACUUGUAAGCUUUGAUAAAACUAUGGCCAUAAAAUCAAUUCUGUGGCUUGAUAAAAGUGGUCACUUGUACCAAGUUGAACCUCAACAUCAUGAACUCUUUCAUUGUUCAUUUCGUAAUGCAUAUCAUUAUUAUUGUCUCACAACUCACGUUCGAAUUCUAUAUCAUUAUGAUCAAAAUGUUCAACCGAAUAUUAACAUCAUCCAUUUCUGCAUUGUAGUUCUCAUAAUUAUUAAUAUUAUGUAACUGUUCAUACCCUUCUUGGUUAGGAAACCGUUCAUUAGAGUCAUCUUUAACAUUAACUCAUUCAUGGAUGUUAAAUGACAUCCAAGGCCUACAAAUAUUAACGUGAUCUCUCAAUUGAGUUUUAAGAACUACACUAAAAUGAAAUGUAGCCUCAAUAGGUUGAGAUUUGGAAACUUGUAUUAGACGAAUACUAAUUGGAGGACAAGUAAAAGAUAAGUGAUUACUCCCACUAUUUGAAGCAAAGGUGGUUUCAUGAAUUUUUUUAGAUAUUUGUUCAACUUUGGAAAUUACCGCAACAUACCAUGGAGUUCGAAUUAUUAUCAUCCUUCCAUUUCUCACUUCUUGAAGAAAGCAUUGUACAUCCCUAUCAUUUCGUAAUUUUGUAGGAUCCAACUUUUCAAUAUAUUGUCCAUAUAUCCAUUUUAACCUUAGCAAAUUUUCAUUUCGAUCUACCUUAAGAGAAUUGAAAAUCUCAUCUUCUAACUUUGUGCAUUUUUUGCUGACAGAAACCAUUUUAUUUUUAUUGUUUUGAUACUCCCAAAGACUAACAUUA
Molecule: RNA transcript, 1993 nt
Organism: Ziziphus jujuba (common jujube)
Lineage: Eukaryota; Viridiplantae; Streptophyta; Magnoliopsida; Rosales; Rhamnaceae
Exons: 2
Source: RefSeq, a predicted model, not a curated record